RNAcentral lists this ribosomal RNA (498 nucleotides) under Phoma sp. HL7228S. RNAcentral's name for it is "eukaryotic LSU rRNA". The stretch from base 147 to 300 matches the Rfam family "5.8S ribosomal RNA". Lineage: Eukaryota; Fungi; Ascomycota; Dothideomycetes; Pleosporales; Didymellaceae. The record is from RNAcentral.
GGGCAUCGUAGGGAUGUAGGCUUUGCCUGCUAUCUCUUACCCAUGUCUUUUAAGUACCUUACGUUUCCUCGGCGGGUCCGCCCGCCGAUUGGACAAUUUAAACCAUUUGCAGUUGCAAUCAGCGUCUGAAAAAACUUAAUAGUUACAACUUUCAACAACGGAUCUCUUGGUUCUGGCAUCGAUGAAGAACGCAGCGAAAUGCGAUAAGUAGUGUGAAUUGCAGAAUUCAGUGAAUCAUCGAAUCUUUGAACGCACAUUGCGCCCCUUGGUAUUCCAUGGGGCAUGCCUGUUCGAGCGUCAUUUGUACCUUCAAGCUCUGCUUGGUGUUGGGUGUUUGUCUCGCCUCUGCGUGUAGACUCGCCUCAAAACAAUUGGCAGCCGGCGUAUUGAUUUCGGAGCGCAGUACAUCUCGCGCUUUGCACUCAUAACGACGACGUCCAAAAGUACAUUUUUACACUCUUGACCUCGGAUCAGGUAGGGAUACCCGCUGAACUUAAG